Molecule: ribosomal RNA, 528 nt
Filed under: uncultured Entrophosporaceae
Lineage: Eukaryota; Fungi; Glomeromycota; Glomeromycetes; Entrophosporales; Entrophosporaceae
Description: SSU rRNA
Rfam family: Eukaryotic small subunit ribosomal RNA
Source: RNAcentral
AGCAGCCGCGGUAAUUCCAGCUCCAAUAGCGUAUAUUAAAGUUGUUGCAGUUAAAAAGCUCGUAGUUGAAUUUCGGGAUUGACGUGAUGGUCGUGCCUUAAGGGGUAUGAACUGUUGCAGUCAAUUUCUCACCUUCUGGAGAAAUAUGAUGUCCUUAAUUGGGUGUCAUAUGGAACCAGAACUUUUACCUUGAAAAAAUUAGAGUGUUUAAAGCAAGCUUAUUGCUCGAAUACAUUAGCAUGGAAUAAUAAAAUAGGACGGCAUGAUUCUAUUUUGUUGGUUUCUAGGAUCACCGUAAUGAUUAAUAGGGAUAGUUGGGGGCAUUAGUAUUCAAUUGUCAGAGGUGAAAUUCUUGGAUUUAUUGAAGACUAACUACUGCGAAAGCAUUUGCCAAGGAUGUUUUCAUUAAUCAAGAACGAAAGUUAGGGGAUCGAAGACGAUCAGAUACCGUCGUAGUCUUAACCAUAAACUAUGCCGACUAGGAAUCAGACGAUGUUAAUUUUUUAAUGACUCGUUUGGCACCUUACG